AUUCCAGCUCCAAUAGCGUAUAUUAAAGUUGUUGCAGUUAAAAAGCUCGUAGUUGGAUUUCUGGCGGGAUGAACACGCCCUCAGCUGAGUGUGCAUGAGCGUCUCACCAUCCUUCUGUUAACCCUUAAGGUUUUAACGACCUUCUGGGGGCUCAGAUAUUUUACCUUGAGAAAAUUAGAGUGUUUCAGGCAGGCUAGCGCCGGGAUACAUUAGCAUGGAAUAAUGGAAUAGGACUUUUUCCCCUUCUGUUGGUCUGAGGGGUUCGAGUAAUGAUUAACAGGGACAGUCAGGGGCACUCGUAUUCCGCCGAGAUAGGUGAAAUUCUCAGACCAGCGGAAGACGAACCACUGCGAAAGCAUUUGCCAGGGAUGUUUUCAUCA
Molecule: ribosomal RNA, 380 nt
Filed under: Pelagostrobilidium sp.
Lineage: Eukaryota; Ciliophora; Spirotrichea; Choreotrichida; Strobilidiidae
Description: partial small subunit ribosomal RNA
Rfam family: Eukaryotic small subunit ribosomal RNA
Source: RNAcentral